CAGUUGGAUUAGCAGUUGGAUUAACAACUUCAUUUUAAAAAUCCUGCUGCUAUUCAAAUUAGCCACACCGUGGGAUGUAAGGAGCUCUCUGAUUGGUUGGUCAGACACAGGCUGUCUGCCAACCUGGAUUUUUCUAGCUCAUAGCUUCGCCCUGCUACUAAGCGUGUGUGCCUGUACAAAGGCCGUUCAGCCUCGGGAUUUACACUCGGCUCGACACGGAUAUGUGAAGAAUGAAGGGAGCCUGCAGCGAAACGGAGAGCCAACCUCUGACUGAGUGCCCGUUUACUCAGUCUGACCACCUGUUGAAGGGCUGUUUGAUGACGAUUUGGACUCCUCUGGGAGAUGAGGACACACCCACAUCUGUUCCAUACUGCAGCCAUGGAUGGUGUUACGGCUCUGAGUCAGCUUUGGGCCAUCAGACGCACACACUGGAAAACCAGCGCCUGUACUUCAUGCACGAGAGACGGCCUCAGUGAUAAUUCAUCAGCAGCUGUGAAGAGAUGUAUUUGAAUAUCUUCUGGUUCCACUUUUCUUAACCUGGAAGCUGAGGAUGGCUGAUUCCUGACAAGGACACACACCUCAGCGCUUAUCAUGGGUGUUACAUCCUCUGUGCCGCAAUUCCAGAGAAAACGAGAGAGCAACAACCACUCAUUAAGACCAGCCAGAAAUCUGUCACUUUCUGGCAGCUGUGAAAACUUCCAAUAAGAAAGUUUGCAUUCUUAGAACAAUGCUGGGUGUUUAUAUUUUCAUGUUUUUGUGUCUGUAGGGCUGUUUGAUGACGAUUUGGACUCCUCUGGGAGAUGAGGACACACCCACAUCUGUUCCAUACUGCAGCCAUGGAUGGUGUUACGGCUCUGAGUCAGCUUUGGGCCAUCAGACGCACACACUGGAAAACCAGCGCCUGUACUUCAUGCACGAGAGACGGCCUCAGUGAUGAUUGACUCUGCAUCCUCUACUUUACCUCCUAAUCUCUUUCUCUUUAACACACAAUUAAAAUCACUCCAAAAGAGUGUAAACUUACUGAGGAAGUCUCUAACUUGUACACAUUUGUACUUUUACUUGUUUUAUGAGUUAUUUUUAAGAAGAGUAAAGUUAUUCACAAAGUUUUUAUUCUUCUGUAUUUAUUCUUUUGUAUCAUGUACCACAGUCAUACUGAACUUUACAGACCUGGUGAAUUGGGGAAAAAAAAAAGUCAUAUAUAUACAUGAAUGAAUCAUUCAGCUUCAGCAGUAUUUCUAUUCAUCUUAUGAAUUCCAGUCUAAUGUCAAUUCACUGUUUGAGUUCAGUUUUGGUCUUAAACUCCAGAGAAUACCACCUAGUUCAACAAUCUUUUUAUCUGAUUAUUUGCAAAACGGUUUUCUUCUGAGAGAUGCUGCUAGAGCUGAAAUUGAGCCCAAAGAAACAACAACAAAGUUUAGUUCCUCUGGAUUUUCCAUGGAAAAUUGUUUUAUCACUCAUCCAGGUGACUUCUCCAGUGUCACGGAUGAGUGAUGAAUGUAUCUCCCACUGGAAACCAUUGUGUCCAGUUAAAGUCAAUCGACUUUUUUAAGGAGAGUUGUUAGAUGCUGUGCUCAUGAGGACAAUGAGUUUUAACUUGGAGCACAAUAAAAAGCUGCCAUAUUGGAUCAACGAACAAAACACUUAAUUGAGCAGAAUUAAGUCAAAAUGUAAUUAUCCUCAUAUAAUGAC
This is a long non-coding RNA of Oreochromis aureus, 1689 nucleotides long. The record is from Ensembl. NCBI's taxonomy places the organism in Eukaryota, Metazoa, Chordata, Actinopteri, Cichliformes, Cichlidae.